RNAcentral lists this ribosomal RNA (1372 nucleotides) under uncultured bacterium. RNAcentral's name for it is "bacterial SSU rRNA". It matches the Rfam family "Bacterial small subunit ribosomal RNA", at positions 28 to 1381 of the family's 1533-position model. The record is from RNAcentral.
GAUGAACGCUGGCGGCGUGCCUAAUACAUGCGAGUCGAGCGAACGGACGAGAAGCUUGCUUCUCUGAUGUUAGCGGCGGACGGGUGAGUAACACGUGGAUAACCUACCUAUAAGACUGGGAUAACUUCGGGAAACCGGAGCUAAUACCGGAUAAUAUUUUGAACCGCAUGGUUCAAAAGUGAAAGACGGUCUUGCUGUCACUUAUAGAUGGAUCCGCGCUGCAUUAGCUAGUUGGUAAGGUAACGGCUUACCAAGGCAACGAUGCAUAGCCGACCUGAGAGGGUGAUCGGCCACACUGGAACUGAGACACGGUCCAGACUCCUACGGGAGGCAGCAGUAGGGAAUCUUCCGCAAUGGGCGAAAGCCUGACGGAGCAACGCCGCGUGAGUGAUGAAGGUCUUCGGAUCGUAAGACUCUGUUAUUAGGGAAGAACAUAUGUGUAAGUAACUGUGCACAUCUUGACGGUACCUAAUCAGAAAGCCACGGCUAACUACGUGCCAGCAGCCGCGGUAAUACGUAGGUGGCAAGCGUUAUCCGGAAUUAUUGGGCGUAAAGCGCGCGUAGGCGGUUUUUUAAGUCUGAUGUGAAAGCCCGCGGCUCAACCGUGGAGGGUCAUUGGAAACUGGAAAACUUGAGUGCAGAAGAGGAAAGUGGAAUUCCAUGUGUAGCGGUGAAAUGCGCAGAGAUAUGGAGGAACACCAGUGGCGAAGGCGACUUUCUGGUCUGUAACUGACGCUGAUGUGCGAAAGCGUGGGGAUCAAACAGGAUUAGAUACCCUGGUAGUCCACGCCGUAAACGAUGAGUGCUAAGUGUUAGGGGGUUUCCGCCCCUUAGUGCUGCAGCUAACGCAUUAAGCACUCCGCCUGGGGAGUACGACCGCAAGGUUGAAGCUCAAAGGAAUUGACGGGGACCCGCACAAGCGGUGGAGCAUGUGGUUUAAUUCGAAGCAACGCGAAGAACCUUACCAAAUCUUGACAUCCUUUGACAACUCUAGAGAUAGAGCUUUCCCCUUCGGGGGACAAAGUGACAGGUGGUGCAUGGUUGUCGUCAGCUCGUGUCGUGAGAUGUUGGGUUAAGUCCCGCAACGAGCGCAACCCUUAAGCUUAGUUGCCAUCAUUAUGUUGGGCACUCUAAGUUGACUGCCGGUGACAAACCGGAGGAAGGUGGGGAUGACGUCAAAUCAUCAUGCCCCUUAUGAUUUGGGCUACACACGUGCUACAAUGGACAAUACAAAGGGCAGCGAAACCGCGAGGUCAAGCAAAUCCCAUAAAGUUGUUCUCAGUUCGGAUUGUAGUCUGCAACUCGACUACAUGAAGCUGGAAUCGCUAGUAAUCGUAGAUCAGCAUGCUACGGUGAAUACGUUCCCGGGUCU